UUUUUUUUACUAACAAAAUAUAUAUAAAAAAUGUCCAGUGUUAUGAUAACACGUGGCACAUCAAUAAAAAAACAAAAACAAUCAACCUUUCUCUCUCUCUCUCGUUAUGCACUCUGUUAAUUGUUUUAAUGUUUACUCCCGCCUUCUCUUAAACCACAACAAAUAAUCAUACUCUUCAUCAUCACAAAACUCAUACAUAAAACAAACAAUUAGACAAAAAUAGAUAAAAGGAAAAAUUACCGAUCAAAAGUGAUGAAGCAGCGAUGCGGUUGGUGUUCACGGUGGUGGGUCGGACGGAGUUAAGGUGGCCCGUCGUCACCGGAGCUGACAUAAAAUUGAUGGAAACGGUGCUGCAGCGACUGUUCCGAAGGUUGUGUGAGGUGGUGAUGGUAGUGAAGUUUAUGUUGUGGUUUUUCUUUGUGAUUAUUUUAACUUUUUAUUUUGUUCUCUUUACAUUAAGUGGGAGAGAGGAUAUUGAAAUAUGGGUGGACUUAUUAUCUUGAGUGGUAGUUGUGUUGAUGUAUGAGAGUGAAGUUUGUGAAGGUGUUGAAGUGAGAUGUUCACGGUGAUAUGGUGUUUACAUGAGAAAGGUGGAGUUUUUAUGAAUUUUGUUUUUUAUUGUUAUGUUGGGAGUUUGGUGAUUUGAGAGGUUUUGAAGUUGUUUAUGGUAUAAAGAGUAAGUGAUAUUUGUGUAGUUAGAAGAAAAGGUUAUUUGUAUGCUUUUGUGAAAGAGAUAAAUGGUGUUUUAUGGUGAGCUUUGUAAUAAAGUUGAUGAAAAGAACAAGUUUAUGGUUUGUGAAAGUUAUAGUAGAAGUUCAUUUAUUUUUGUGAAAGAUGAUGAAAGUUUGUGGAGGUUAACAAGAUGGUAGCAUGUUAUGAGUUUGGUUCAUAUAAUAUAGUGAGAUGGUUGGUUUGGAAAUGAUUGGUUUCUCUUAGAAAAGUAAAGAGAAAGUUGGAGUGUGUAGUAGUAAUGGUGGUGGUGACACUACAUGAAGAAAAAUAAGGAGAUAAAGUAAUAAAAGAAGAAGGAGUAUGUUGGAUUUAUUUUGGUAAAGAGAAGGUUGUUUUGUAUACGAAAAGAGUGUGUUUUUAUGGUGUAGUGAAGAUGAAUGAAAAUGAAAGAAGUUGAUGUGAGGUUAGAAGUGUGCAGAGGAUAAUGGAGUAUGUAGAUUGGUGUUUUUCAUGUUGAUGGAGGAUGGAGAAAUAUGAGAGGAUUUAUGAAGUUUUUUAUGUGAAUGAAUGGAGAGAAGGUCUAUAUGUUGUAGCAUGAAAAAAAUGUGUUGUAGAAGGAGUAUAAAGGGUUGUUGAUGUUUCUGCAUAUGUGUUUCUUCAUCUCCAAUUUUAUUCCAUUUUUGCUUGAAAUUUCAAUCUAAGAGAGAUUCAUGAAAGGGGCGCCGUUUGGUGUAUUGGAU
RNAcentral lists this long non-coding RNA (1412 nucleotides) under Lathyrus oleraceus (garden pea). RNAcentral describes it as "Pisum sativum (pea) long non-coding RNA (PSAT_LNC013395)". Lineage: Eukaryota; Viridiplantae; Streptophyta; Magnoliopsida; Fabales; Fabaceae. The record is from RNAcentral.